RNAcentral lists this transfer RNA (69 nucleotides) under Eulemur mongoz (mongoose lemur). RNAcentral's name for it is "transfer RNA-Phe". It matches the Rfam family "tRNA". From Rfam's summary of the family: Transfer RNA (tRNA) molecules are approximately 80 nucleotides in length. Their secondary structure includes four short double-helical elements and three loops (D, anti-codon, and T loops). Lineage: Eukaryota; Metazoa; Chordata; Mammalia; Primates; Lemuridae. The record is from RNAcentral.
GUUAAUGUAGCUUAAACCACUAAAGCAAGGCACUGAAAAUGCCUAGACGGGUAUUUCACCCCAUGAACA